UCCCUUGUGGCUCAGUUGGUAAAGAAUCUGCCUCCAAUGCAGGAGACCUGGGUUCGAUCCCUGGGUUGGGAA
Molecule: transfer RNA, 72 nt
Filed under: Bos taurus (domestic cattle)
Lineage: Eukaryota; Metazoa; Chordata; Mammalia; Artiodactyla; Bovidae
Also listed under: 2 other names
Rfam family: tRNA
About the family: Transfer RNA (tRNA) molecules are approximately 80 nucleotides in length.
Source: Rfam by way of RNAcentral